Molecule: ribosomal RNA, 795 nt
Filed under: Triticum aestivum (bread wheat)
Lineage: Eukaryota; Viridiplantae; Streptophyta; Magnoliopsida; Poales; Poaceae
Description: partial small subunit ribosomal RNA
Rfam family: Small nucleolar RNA Z247 (bases 526-664)
Source: RNAcentral
UUUUACAUGGUAAUCAGAGCCUACCUCGGAUUCAUCCAUGGCGAGCUCAUCCGCAAAUACGUUCCCCUCAUCUCCUUUUGCACACAUCGCCACAGAGAAGCUCUCGAGAGGGAACGAAGCCCUUUGGCGCGCCACCGUCCUCUCUGCCAUCAGGGGGCGCAGAUGGCGGGCUUCCUCGAUCUGGAGCAGGAGGUGCCGCCCAUGUUGAUCGAGGUCACUAGCGACGACGGCAAGACCAAGUCGAAGGCCCCCAACCCUGAGUUCGGCACCUGGUACGCUCGCGAUCAGCAGGUUUUCUCUUACCUGUUGACUACGCUACCACGUGAGAUGGCCAUUCAGGUGGCGACUUGCCACACCGCAGCAGAGCUGUGGAACACCGUGCAGGGGAUGCUCAACUCGCAUACCCGAGCGCUGUCUGUCAACGUCAGGAUCGCGCCGGCGAAUCUUCAGAAGGGCAACUCCACCAUUACAGAGUACGUUGGUAAGAUCAGAACCCUUUGUGAUGAGUUGGUUGCCUCAGGAAAAAAGGUGGACGAAGAAGAUGUGGUUUCGCACAUCCUUGCCGGGCUGGAGGAGGAGUUCGACCCCGUGGUGUCUGCCAUGUGCUCACGGGUCGAACAUGUGACUGUCCCGGAGCUGUACUCACAGCUGCUGAGCUUCGAGACGCGUAUGAAUCUUCGCGGGGGAGCCUCCCAGUCCUCCGCCAACGCUGCGUCACGUGGGCGCUUCAACAACUCCAACAACAAGCAGAACGGCAACGGCGGCGGCGGUGGUGACCGCGGUCGCGUCUUCAAC